RNAcentral lists this ribosomal RNA (333 nucleotides) under uncultured bacterium. Its description in RNAcentral is "bacterial SSU rRNA". It matches the Rfam family "Bacterial small subunit ribosomal RNA", at positions 32 to 360 of the family's 1533-position model. The record is from RNAcentral.
AAUCAACGCUGGCGGCGUGCCUAACACAUGCAAGUCGAACGCGAAAGCCCGCAAGGGUGAGUAGAGUGGCGCACGGGUGAGUAACACGUGGACAACCUGCCUUCGAGUGGGGAAUAACCUUCCGAAAGGAGGGCGUAAUACCGCAUAACACCUCGGGACACAAGUUCUGGGGUUGAAAAGAGCAAUUUGCUCGAAGAGGGGUCCGCGCCUGAUUAGCUAGUUGGUGAGGUAACGGCUCACCAAGGCUUCGAUCAGUAGCCGUCCUGAGAGGGAGCACGGCCACACUGGAACUGAGACACGGUCCAGACUCCUACGGGAGGGCAGCAGUGGGGG